RNAcentral lists this ribosomal RNA (433 nucleotides) under uncultured bacterium. RNAcentral describes it as "partial 16S ribosomal RNA". It matches the Rfam family "Bacterial small subunit ribosomal RNA", at positions 29 to 507 of the family's 1533-position model. The record is from RNAcentral.
AACGAACGCUGGCGGCAUGCCUAACACAUGCAAGUCGAACGAGACCUUCGGGUCUAGUGGCGCACGGGUGCGUAACGCGUGGGAACCUGCCCUUAGGUUCGGAAUAACUCUCCGAAAGGGGUGCUAAUACCGGAUAAUGUCUUCGGACCAAAGAUUUAUCGACUUUGGAUGGGCCCGCGUUGGAUUAGCUAGUUGGUAGGGUAAAAGCCUACCAAGGCGACGAUCCAUAGCUGGUCUGAGAGGAUGAUCAGCCACACUGGGACUGAGACACGGCCCAGACUCCUACGGGAGGCAGCAGUGGGGAAUAUUGGACAAUGGGCGAAAGCCUGAUCCAGCAAGGCCGCGUGAGUGAUGAAGGCCUUAGGGUUGUAAAGCUCUUUUACCCGGGAUGAUAAUGACAGUACCGGGAGAAUAAGCUCCGGCUAACUCCGUG